RNAcentral lists this ribosomal RNA (406 nucleotides) under uncultured bacterium. Its description in RNAcentral is "partial 16S ribosomal RNA". It matches the Rfam family "Bacterial small subunit ribosomal RNA", at positions 30 to 526 of the family's 1533-position model. The record is from RNAcentral.
AUUGAACGCUGGCGGCAGGCCUAACACAUGCAAGUCGAACGAGUGGCGGACGGGUGAGUAAUGUCUGGGAAACUGCCUGAUAGAGGGGGAUAACUACUGGAAACGGUAGCUAAUACCGCAUACCAUCAGCUGUGCCCAGAGGGGAUGAGCUUGAUGGUGGGGUAACGGCGCACCAAGGCUACGAUCCCUAGCUGGUCUGAGAGGAUGACCAGCCACACUGGAACUGAGACAUGGUGCAAACUCCUACGGGAGGCAGCAGUGGGUAAGAUUGCACAAUGGGCGCAAGCCUGAUGCAGCCAUGCCGAGUGUAUGAAGAAGGCCUUCGGGUUGUAAAGUCCUUUCAGCGGGGAGGCGUUACCCGCAGAAGAAGCACCGGCUAACUCCGUGCCAGCCGCCGCGGUAAUUC